RNAcentral lists this ribosomal RNA (582 nucleotides) under uncultured archaeon. RNAcentral's name for it is "bacterial SSU rRNA". It matches the Rfam family "Archaeal small subunit ribosomal RNA", at positions 171 to 738 of the family's 1478-position model. The record is from RNAcentral.
UGGAAUGGUUUCCCUCUCAAAGGAUGUGGAACCAUGCUUCCAACAUCGCCCGAGGAUGGGGCUGCGGCCGAUCAGGUAGUUGGUGAGGUAACGGCUCACCAAGCCUUUAACCGGUACGGGCCGUGAGAGCGGGAGCCCGGAGAUGGGCACUGAGACAAGGACCUAGGCCCUACGGGGCGCAGCAGUCGCGAAAACUCCGCAAUGCGCGCAAGCGCGACGGGGCUACCCCGAGUGCCGUCCGCUGAGGAUGGCUUUUCUCUGGUGUAAUGAGCCGGAGGAAUAAGGGGAGGGCAAGCCUGGUGUCAGCCGCCGCGGUAAUACCAGCUCCUCGAGUGGUGGGGAUGAUUAUUGGGCCUAAAGCGUCCGUAGCCGGCUCGGUAAGUCCUCCGUUAAAUCCAACGAUCUAAUCGUUGGGCUGCGGGGGAUACUGCAGGGCUAGGGGGCGGGAGAAGCCGACGGUACUCUUGGGGUAGGGGUGAAAUCCUAUAAUCCCAGGAGGACAACCAGUGGCGAAGGCGGUCGGCUAGAACGCGCCCGACGGUGAGGGACGAAAGCGUGGGGAGCGAUCCGGAUUAGAUACCC